RNAcentral lists this ribosomal RNA (168 nucleotides) under uncultured bacterium. RNAcentral's name for it is "partial 16S ribosomal RNA". It matches the Rfam family "Bacterial small subunit ribosomal RNA", at positions 365 to 525 of the family's 1533-position model. The record is from RNAcentral.
CGCACAAUGGGCGCAAGCCUGAUGCAGCCAUGCCGCGUGUAUGAAGAAGGCCUUCGGGUUGUAAAGUACUUUCAGCGGGGAGGAAGGGAGUAAAGUUAAUACCUUUGCUCAUUGACGUUACCCGCAGAAGAAGCACCGGCUAACUCCGUGCCAGCAGCCGCGGUAAUA